GACGAACGCUGGCGGCGUGCUUAACACAUGCAAGUCGAACGGAAAGGCCCUGCUUUUGUGGGGUGCUCGAGUGGCGAACGGGUGAGUAACACGUGAGUAACCUGCCCUUGACUUUGGGAUAACUUCAGGAAACUGGGGCUAAUACCGGAUAGGAGCUCCUGCUGCAUGGUGGGGGUUGGAAAGUUUCGGCGGUUGGGGAUGGACUCGCGGCUUAUCAGCUUGUUGGUGGGGUAGUGGCUUACCAAGGCUUUGACGGGUAGCCGGCCUGAUAGGGUGACCGGCCACAUUGGGACUGAGAUACGGCCCAGACUCCUACGGGAGGCAGCAGUGGGGAAUAUUGCACAAUGGGCGGAAGCAUGAUGCAGCAACGCCGCGUGCGGGAUGACGGCCUUCGGGUUGUAAACCGCUUUCGCCUGUGACGAAGCGUGAGUGACGGUAAUGGGUAAAGAAGCACCGGCUAACUACGUG
This 468-nucleotide ribosomal RNA is filed under the name uncultured bacterium. RNAcentral describes it as "partial 16S ribosomal RNA". It matches the Rfam family "Bacterial small subunit ribosomal RNA", at positions 28 to 507 of the family's 1533-position model. The record is from RNAcentral.